This 465-nucleotide ribosomal RNA is filed under the name Pseudomonas aeruginosa. RNAcentral's name for it is "bacterial SSU rRNA". It matches the Rfam family "Bacterial small subunit ribosomal RNA", at positions 62 to 524 of the family's 1533-position model. The record is from RNAcentral. Lineage: Bacteria; Pseudomonadati; Pseudomonadota; Gammaproteobacteria; Pseudomonadales; Pseudomonadaceae.
UCGAGCGGAUGAAGGGAGCUUGUCUGGAUUCAGCGGCGGACGGGUGAGUAAUGCCUAGGAAUCUGCCUGGUAGUGGGGGAUAACGUCCGGAAACGGGCGCUAAUACCGCAUACGUCCUGAGGGAGAAAGUGGGGGAUCUUCGGACCUCACGCUAUCAGAUGAGCCUAGGUCGGAUUAGCUAGUUGGUGGGGUAAAGGCCUACCAAGGCGACGAUCCGUAACUGGUCUGAGAGGAUGAUCAGUCACACUGGAACUGAGACACGGUCCAGACUCCUACGGGAGGCAGCAGUGGGGAAUAUUGGACAAUGGGCGAAAGCCUGAUCCAGCCAUGCCGCGUGUGUGAAGAAGGUCUUCGGAUUGUAAAGCACUUUAAGUUGGGAGGAAGGGCAGUAAGUUAAUACCUUGCUGUUUUGACGUUACCAACAGAAUAAGCACCGGCUAACUUCGUGCCAGCAGCCGCGUUAAU